This 238-nucleotide ribosomal RNA is filed under the name uncultured bacterium. Its description in RNAcentral is "partial 16S ribosomal RNA". It matches the Rfam family "Bacterial small subunit ribosomal RNA", at positions 96 to 334 of the family's 1533-position model. The record is from RNAcentral.
UGGCGGACGGGUGAGUAACGCGUGGGUAACCUGCCUUGUACUGGGGGACAACAGUUGGAAACGACUGCUAAUACCGCAUAAGCGCACAGCUUCGCAUGAAGCGGUGUGAAAAACUCCGGUGGUACAAGAUGGACCCGCGUCUGAUUAGCUGGUUGGUGAGGUAACGGCCCACCAAGGCAACGAUCAGUAGCCGGCCUGAGAGGGUGAACGGCCACAUUGGGACUGAGACACGGCCCAA